RNAcentral lists this ribosomal RNA (898 nucleotides) under uncultured Propionibacterium sp. Its description in RNAcentral is "bacterial SSU rRNA". It matches the Rfam family "Bacterial small subunit ribosomal RNA", at positions 505 to 1398 of the family's 1533-position model. Lineage: Bacteria; Bacillati; Actinomycetota; Actinomycetes; Propionibacteriales; Propionibacteriaceae. The record is from RNAcentral.
GUGCCAGCAGCCGCGGUAAUACGUAGGGUGCGAGCGUUGUCCGGAUUUAUUGGGCGUAAAGGGCUCGUAGGUGGUUGAUCGCGUCGGAAGUGUAAUCUUGGGGCUUAACCCUGAGCGUGCUUUCGAUACGGGUUGACUUGAGGAAGGUAGGGGAGAAUGGAAUUCCUGGUGGAGCGGUGGAAUGCGCAGAUAUCAGGAGGAACACCAGUGGCGAAGGCGGUUCUCUGGGCCUUUCCUGACGCCGAGGAGCGAAAGCGUGGGGAGCGAACAGGCUUAGAUACCCUGGUAGUCCACGCUGUAAACGGUGGGUACUAGGUGUGGGGUCCAUUCCACGGGUUCCGUGCCGUAGCUAACGCUUUAAGUACCCCGCCUGGGGAGUACGGCCGCAAGGCUAAAACUCAAAGGAAUUGACGGGGCCCCGCACAAGCGGCGGAGCAUGCGGAUUAAUUCGAUGCAACGCGUAGAACCUUACCUGGGUUUGACAUGGAUCGGGAGUGCUCAGAGAUGGGUGUGCCUCUUUUGGGGUCGGUUCACAGGUGGUGCAUGGCUGUCGUCAGCUCGUGUCGUGAGAUGUUGGGUUAAGUCCCGCAACGAGCGCAACCCUUGUUCACUGUUGCCAGCACGUUAUGGUGGGGACUCAGUGGAGACCGCCGGGGUCAACUCGGAGGAAGGUGGGGAUGACGUCAAGUCAUCAUGCCCCUUAUGUCCAGGGCUUCACGCAUGCUACAAUGGCUGGUACAGAGAGUGGCGAGCCUGUGAGGGUGAGCGAAUCUCGGAAAGCCGGUCUCAGUUCGGAUUGGGGUCUGCAACUCGACCUCAUGAAGUCGGAGUCGCUAGUAAUCGCAGAUCAGCAACGCUGCGGUGAAUACGUUCCCGGGGCUUGUACACACCGCCCGUG